This 1209-nucleotide ribosomal RNA is filed under the name Rattus norvegicus (Norway rat). RNAcentral's name for it is "bacterial SSU rRNA". The stretch from base 316 to 1209 matches the Rfam family "Eukaryotic small subunit ribosomal RNA". Lineage: Eukaryota; Metazoa; Chordata; Mammalia; Rodentia; Muridae. The record is from RNAcentral.
AAAGAGGACUUACAGAAAGAACUGAAGUAGUUGAAGGGGUUUGCCAUCCUAUAAGAACAAUAUCAACCAACCAAACCCUGCCCUCGAUCUUCCAUGGACUAAACAACCAUCCAAAGACUACACAAGGAUGAGCCUAUGGCUCCAUCUGCAUAUGAAGCAGAGGAUAUCCUUUUCAGGCACCAAUGGGAGCAAAUGCCCUUGGUCCUGUCAAGGCUUGAUGCCCCAGUGUAGGGAACUGUCAGAAUGGGCAGGUUGGAAGGAGUGAGUGGGUGAGUGAGGAACUGCCCUCAGAACAGGAGGCAUGAGGGGAAAUAAUAGCUGGUUUCUGGAGGGCAAAUCAGGAAAAUCAUAUUUAAAAUGUGAAUUAAAAAAAAUCCCCUCCCCCAAUGAAAGAAAAAGAAAGAGAAAUGGAGAAAGAAAAAGAAAAACAAAUGGGGGUACAUAACUAAACAGAUGCCCACUGGGGAUGCGGCGGCGUUAUUCCCAUGAUAGUCAAGCAUCUUCUGGGAAACCAAAGUCUUUGGGUUCUGGGGGAGUAUGGUUGCAAAGCUGAAACUUAAAGGAAUGGACAGAAGGGCACCACCAGGAGUGGAGCCUGCAGCUUAAUUUGACUCAACACAGGAAACCUCACCGGGCCCAGACACAGACAGGAUUGACAGAUAGAUAGCUCUUUCUCGAUUCCGUGGGUGGUGGUGCAUGGCCGUUCUUAGAUGGUGGAGUGAUACGUCUGGUUAAUUCUGAUAACAAACUAGACUCUGGCAUGCUAACUAGUUACAGGACCCCCUGAGCGGUCGGCGUCCCCCAACUUCUUAGAGGGACAAGUGGCAUUCAGCCACCUGAGAUUGAGCAAUAACAGGUCUGUGAUUCCCUUAGAUGUCCGGGGCUGCAUUAGCGGCACACUGACUGGCUCAGCUUGUGCCUACCCUACAAAGUCAGGCGCGGGUAUCCCAUUGAACCUCAUUCGUGAUGGAGAUCGGGGAUUGCAAUUAUUCUCCAUGAACGAGGAAUUCCCAGUAAGUGCUGGUCAUAAGCUUGCGUUGAUUAAGUCCUUGCCCUUUGUACACACCACCCUUCCCUACUACCAAUUGGAUGGUUUAGUGGGGCCUGAUCGGCCCAUGGCCCUGUUGGAGGGCUGAGAAGAAGGUCGAACUUGACUGUCUAGAGGAAGUAAAAGUUGUAACAAGGUUUCUGUAGGUGAACCGGUGGAAG